Molecule: ribosomal RNA, 301 nt
Filed under: uncultured bacterium
Lineage: Bacteria
Description: partial 16S ribosomal RNA
Rfam family: Bacterial small subunit ribosomal RNA
Source: RNAcentral
CAGUAGCCGCGGUAAUACGUAGGUGGCAAGCGUUGUCCGGAAUUAUUGGGCGCAAAGGGCUCGCAGGCGGUUUCUUAAGUCUGAUGUGAAAGCCCUCGGCUCAACCGGGGAGGGUCAUUGGAAACUGGGAGACUUGAGUGCAGAAGAGGAGAGUGGAAUUCCACGUGUAGCGGUGAAAUGCGUAGAGAUGUGGAGGAACACCAGUGGCGAAGGCGACUCUCUGGUCUGUAACUGACGCUGAGGAGCGAAAGCGUGGGGAGCGAACAGGAUUAGAUACCCCUGUAGUCCCUGUCUCUUAUAC